GGCUGUGUAGCUCAGUUGGUAGAGCAUAGGAUUCCAGACCCUAAGGCCGCUGGUUCGAGUCCGGUCACGGUCA
This is a non-coding RNA of Cylindrotheca closterium, 73 nucleotides long. The record is from the annotation of a GenBank genome assembly. NCBI's taxonomy places the organism in Eukaryota, Bacillariophyta, Bacillariophyceae, Bacillariales, Bacillariaceae.